ACGCUCGACACCUACUGGAGGCAGCAGUUGGGAAUAUUGGACAAUGGAGGGAACUCUGAUCCAGUGACGCCGCGUGAAGGAAGAAGGUCUUCGGAUUGUAAACUUAUUUUAUCAGGGAAGAAAGAAAUGACAGUACCUGAAGAAGAAGGACCGGCUAACUACGUGCCAGCAGCCGCGGUAAUCUGAGCGGGCUGGCAAGGC
This 201-nucleotide ribosomal RNA is filed under the name uncultured bacterium. RNAcentral describes it as "partial 16S ribosomal RNA". It matches the Rfam family "Bacterial small subunit ribosomal RNA", at positions 328 to 537 of the family's 1533-position model. The record is from RNAcentral.